AGUCGAGAAUUUUUGACAAUGGGGGAAACCCUGAUCGAGCGACGCCGCGUGGAGGAUGAAGGUCUUCGGAUUGUAAACUCCUGUCAUUGGGGAACAAGGUGCAUACGUUAACUGCGUGCGCAUUGAUAGUACCCGAAGAGGAAGAGACGGCUAACUCUGUGCCAGCAGCCGCGGUAAUACAGAGGUCUCAAGCGUUGUUCGGAUUCAUUGGGCGUAAAGGGUGCGUAGGCGGCGCGGUAAGUCGGGUGUGAAAUCUCGGAGCUUAACUCCGAAACUGCAUUCGAUACUGCCGUGCUUGAGGACUGGAGAGGAGACUGGAAUUUACGGUGUAGCGGUGAAAUGCGUAGAUAUCGUAAGGAAGACCAGUGGCGAAGGCGGGUCUCUGGACAGUUCCUGACGCUGAGGCACGAAGGUCAGGGGAGCAAA
This 426-nucleotide ribosomal RNA is filed under the name uncultured bacterium. RNAcentral's name for it is "bacterial SSU rRNA". It matches the Rfam family "Bacterial small subunit ribosomal RNA", at positions 353 to 772 of the family's 1533-position model. The record is from RNAcentral.